GGAGACCUUUGUUAUCUACAAUAACUGAUAUUGUGUUUUACAGAGAUGUGACUGUUUUCCUCAACUGACUGUAAGAGGAGUGAGGACCUGGCAGCUGGAAGGGGAGAUGGCCUGAAUUUCUUAUCAAUCUCUUGAUCUUAUACUCCUUGAGAGGACUGUCUGGUGUCAAAGAGAACCAGAGGCAGCACCCUGCUUGAGUAAAAUUACUUGUUUUUGUGUGCCAUGUCUCUCAUUUUUAAAGAGAGCUUUGUACAACCUUGUGACAGUUUCAACUAUGACUUUGAAAAAAACCUGGG
This 296-nucleotide long non-coding RNA is filed under the name Parus major (Great Tit). RNAcentral describes it as "lncRNA (ENSPMJG00000001039.1)". Lineage: Eukaryota; Metazoa; Chordata; Aves; Passeriformes; Paridae. The record is from RNAcentral.